This 351-nucleotide ribosomal RNA is filed under the name uncultured bacterium. RNAcentral describes it as "partial 16S ribosomal RNA". It matches the Rfam family "Bacterial small subunit ribosomal RNA", at positions 338 to 706 of the family's 1533-position model. The record is from RNAcentral.
CCUACGGGAGGCAGCAGUAAGGGAUAUUGGUCAAUGGGGGAAACCCUGAACCAGCAACGCCGCGUGAGGGAAGACGGUUUUCGGAUUGUAAACCUCUGUCCUCUGUGAAGAUGAUGACGGUAGCAGAGGAGGAAGCUCCGGCUAACUACGUGCCAGCAGCCGCGGUAAUACGGAGGGAGCGAGCGUUGUCCGGAUUUACUGGGUGUAAAGGGUGCGUAGGCGGCUUGGCAAGUCAGUAGUGAAAUGAAGGGGCGUAACCCAUGAAGUGCAAUUGAAACUGUCGGGAUGGAGUGAAGGAGAGGUAGGCGGAAGGCGGGGGGUAGAGGUGAAAGGCGUAGAGAUCAGGAGGAA